UACGUGGGGGGCGAGCGUUGUCCGGAAUCAUUGGGCGUAAAGCGCGUGUAGGCGGUCCGGUAAGUCCGCUGUGAAAGUCGGGGGCUCAACCCUCGGAUGCCGGUGGAUACUGUCGGGCUUGAGUACGGAAGAGGCGAGUGGAAUUCCUGGUGUAGCGGUGAAAUGCGCAGAUAUCAGGAGGAACACCAAUUGCGAAGGCAGCUCGCUGGGACGUUACUGACGCUGAGACGCGAAAGCGUGGGGAGCAAACGGG
This 253-nucleotide ribosomal RNA is filed under the name uncultured bacterium. RNAcentral describes it as "partial 16S ribosomal RNA". It matches the Rfam family "Bacterial small subunit ribosomal RNA", at positions 524 to 776 of the family's 1533-position model. The record is from RNAcentral.